Hibiscus syriacus is the source of this 119-nucleotide long non-coding RNA. RefSeq lists it as uncharacterized. The transcript is spliced from 2 exons. The record is from RefSeq and is a predicted model, not a curated record. Lineage: Eukaryota; Viridiplantae; Streptophyta; Magnoliopsida; Malvales; Malvaceae.
AAUAGUAACAAAAAUCAGGCUUUGGAUUUUGUCAAGGAGAAAUCUUCUUUCGAGGUCUCUGACAAUUAUUUGAAGCAAGCCUUAGGGAAAAGAUGGAGAGACCACAAGAGCUCAUUAAA